RNAcentral lists this ribosomal RNA (444 nucleotides) under uncultured bacterium. RNAcentral describes it as "bacterial SSU rRNA". It matches the Rfam family "Bacterial small subunit ribosomal RNA", at positions 335 to 797 of the family's 1533-position model. The record is from RNAcentral.
ACUCCUACGGGAGGCAGCAGUGGGGAAUAUUGGACAAUGGGCGCAAGCCUGAUCCAGCCAUGCCGCGUGAGUGAUGACGGCCUUAGGGUUGUAAAGCUCUUUCAGUGGUGAAGAUAAUGACGGUAACCACAGAAGAAGCCCCGGCUAACUCCGUGCCAGCAGCCGCGGUAAUACGGAGGGGGCUAGCGUUGUUCGGAAUUACUGGGCGUAAAGCGCGCGUAGGCGGAUCUUUAAGUCAGGGGUGAAAUCCUGGGGCUCAACCUCAGAACUGCCCUUGAUACUGAAGAUCUUGAGUCCGGAAGAGGUUAGUGGAAUUCCCAGUGUAGAGGUGAAAUUCGUAGAUAUUGGGAAGAACACCAGUGGCGAAGGCGGCUAACUGGUCCGGUACUGACGCUGAGGUGCGAAAGCGUGGGGAGCAACAGGAUUAGAUACCCUGGUAGCGAG